RNAcentral lists this ribosomal RNA (406 nucleotides) under uncultured bacterium. Its description in RNAcentral is "partial 16S ribosomal RNA". It matches the Rfam family "Bacterial small subunit ribosomal RNA", at positions 29 to 526 of the family's 1533-position model. The record is from RNAcentral.
AUUGAACGCUGGCGGCAGGCCUAACACAUGCAAGUCGAGCGAGCGGCGGACGGGUGAGUACUGUCUGGGAACCUGCCUGAUGCAGGUGGAUAACUACUGGAAACGGUAGCUAAUAACGCCUACCAUCAGAUGUGCCCCGAUGGGAUUAGCUAGUAGGUGGGGUAACGGCUCACCUAGGCGGCGAUCCCUAGCUGGUCUGGGAGGUUGACCAGCCACACGGGAACUGAGACACGGCCCAGACUCCUACGGGAGGCAGCAGUGGGGAAUAUUGCGCAAUGGGCGAAAGCCUGACGCAGCGACGCCGCGUGAGUGAAGAAGGCUUUCGGGUUGUAAAGCACUGUCGGCGGAGAGGCGUUAUCCACAGAGGAAGCAACGGCUAACUCCGUGCCAGCAGCCGCGGUAAUAC